CCGAGUGAUCUAUCCAUGGGCAGGUUGAAGCGAGGGUAAGACCUCGUGGAGGACCGAACCCACCUAGGUUAAAAACUGGGGGGAUGACCUGUGGAUAGGGGGUGAAAAGGCCAAUCAAACUCGGUGAUAGCUGGUUCUCCCCGAAAUGCAUUUAGGUGCAGCGUCGUUUGUUCAGUCAUGGGGGUAGAGCACUGGAUGGGUUAGGGGGCCUACAAGCUUACCGACCCCAACCAAACUCCGAAUACCAUGACUCCAGAGAACGGCAGUGAGACUGCGGGGGAUGAGCUUCGCAGUCGAAAGGGAAACAGCCCAGACCGCCGGCUAAGGCCCCAAAUUCUAGACUAAGUGGAAAACGAUGUGAGAUUGCCCAGACAGCCAGGAGGUUGGCUUAGAAGCAGCCACCCUUGAAAGAGUGCGUAACAGCUCACUGGUCGAGUGAUCUUGCGCGGAUAAUGUAACGGGG
RNAcentral lists this ribosomal RNA (463 nucleotides) under uncultured bacterium. RNAcentral's name for it is "bacterial LSU rRNA". It matches the Rfam family "Bacterial large subunit ribosomal RNA", at positions 721 to 1180 of the family's 2925-position model. The record is from RNAcentral.